AAAUUGAAGAGUUUGAUCAUGGCUCAGAUUGAACGCUGGCGGCAGGCCUAACACAUGCAAGUCGAGCGGUAGCACAGAGAGCUUGCUCUCGGGUGACGAGCGGCGGACGGGUGAGUAAUGUCUGGGAAACUGCCUGAUGGAGGGGGAUAACUACUGGAAACGGUAGCUAAUACCGCAUAACGUCGCAAGACCAAAGUGGGGGACCUUCGGGCCUCAUGCCAUCAGAUGUGCCCAGAUGGGAUUAGCUAGUAGGUGGGGUAACGGCUCACCUAGGCGACGAUCCCUAGCUGGUCUGAGAGGAUGACCAGCCACACUGGAACUGAGACACGGUCCAGACUCCUACGGGAGGCAGCAGUGGGGAAUAUUGCACAAUGGGCGCAAGCCUGAUGCAGCCAUGCCGCGUGUGUGAAGAAGGCCUUCGGGUUGUAAAGCACUUUCAGCGGGGAGGAAGGCGAUAAGGUUAAUAACCUUGUCGAUUGACGUUACCCGCAGAAGAAGCACCGGCUAACUCCGUGCCAGCAGCCGCGGUAAUACGGAGGGUGCAAGCGUUAAUCGGAAUUACUGGGCGUAAAGCGCACGCAGGCGGUCUGUCAAGUCGGAUGUGAAAUCCCCGGGCUCAACCUGGGAACUGCAUUCGAAACUGGCAGGCUAGAGUCUUGUAGAGGGGGGUAGAAUUCCAGGUGUAGCGGUGAAAUGCGUAGAGAUCUGGAGGAAUACCGGUGGCGAAGGCGGCCCCCUGGACAAAGACUGACGCUCAGGUGCGAAAGCGUGGGGAGCAAACAGGAUUAGAUACCCUGGUAGUCCACGCCGUAAACGAUGUCGAUUUGGAGGUUGUGCCCUUGAGGCGUGGCUUCCGGAGCUAACGCGUUAAAUCGACCGCCUGGGGAGUACGGCCGCAAGGUUAAAACUCAAAUGAAUUGACGGGGGCCCGCACAAGCGGUGGAGCAUGUGGUUUAAUUCGAUGCAACGCGAAGAACCUUACCUGGUCUUGACAUCCACAGAACUUUCCAGAGAUGGAUUGGUGCCUUCGGGAACUGUGAGACAGGUGCUGCAUGGCUGUCGUCAGCUCGUGUUGUGAAAUGUUGGGUUAAGUCCCGCAACGAGCGCAACCCUUAUCCUUUGUUGCCAGCGGUUAGGCCGGGAACUCAAAGGAGACUGCCAGUGAUAAACUGGAGGAAGGUGGGGAUGACGUCAAGUCAUCAUGGCCCUUACGACCAGGGCUACACACGUGCUACAAUGGCAUAUACAAAGAGAAGCGACCUCGCGAGAGCAAGCGGACCUCAUAAAGUAUGUCGUAGUCCGGAUUGGAGUCUGCAACUCGACUCCAUGAAGUCGGAAUCGCUAGUAAUCGUAGAUCAGAAUGCUACGGUGAAUACGUUCCCGGGCCUUGUACACACCGCCCGUCACACCAUGGGAGUGGGUUGCAAAAGAAGUAGGUAGCUUAACCUUCGGGAGGGCGCUUACCACUUUGUGAUUCAUGACUGGGGUGAAGUCGUAACAAGGUAACCGUAGGGGAACCUGCGG
RNAcentral lists this ribosomal RNA (1524 nucleotides) under Klebsiella pneumoniae subsp. pneumoniae. Its description in RNAcentral is "bacterial SSU rRNA". It matches the Rfam family "Bacterial small subunit ribosomal RNA". Lineage: Bacteria; Pseudomonadati; Pseudomonadota; Gammaproteobacteria; Enterobacterales; Enterobacteriaceae. The record is from RNAcentral.